UGCGAGCAUAACUGUAUGUCGCUUUGGAUAAAAGCGUCUGCUAAAUGGCUUAUA
This is a non-coding RNA of Salmo salar (Atlantic salmon), 54 nucleotides long. The record is from Rfam. NCBI's taxonomy places the organism in Eukaryota, Metazoa, Chordata, Actinopteri, Salmoniformes, Salmonidae.